UCAAAUUAGAGCUUGAAAAGUAUUUUAUUUACAUUAAAAAGAUAAUUAUUAAUUUAAUUUAAUUU
Molecule: transfer RNA, 65 nt
Filed under: Parapylus bicinctus
Lineage: Eukaryota; Metazoa; Arthropoda; Insecta; Coleoptera; Cleridae
Description: tRNA-Val
Source: RNAcentral